Ictidomys tridecemlineatus (thirteen-lined ground squirrel) is the source of this 1389-nucleotide non-coding RNA. Lineage: Eukaryota; Metazoa; Chordata; Mammalia; Rodentia; Sciuridae. The record is from RefSeq and is a predicted model, not a curated record.
UUUCUUUAUGAAUUAGGGUCAGCACAGCUCCAGAAAAUAACAAUACAGUGAUGAAAAAAACACAGAUGUGGACCCCAACCUUACAGAAACUGUAUUGUGGCUGGUGAAAAUAACAAUAAAAUAAUAAACAUAGCUAAUGCUCAGUGAGCAAGUAUAUAUUCUAGGUAACUCUUUUCACAUGAUACCCCCUGGAUUUACCACAACUCUAGUUAUAUUAGUAAUAUUUAUCACCUUUAUCUUAUAGGUGAAGAUAACAUAGAUAAGAGGGGUUAUAUAUGUUGCCUAACUGCAUAAUCAGUAAGUGGUGGGACAGAUUAUAGCCAAGAAUUAGUAAAUGAGCAAAUAGAUCAUCAAUAUGAAGAAACAUGGUAUGGAAAAAGUAUGGAAAUUGGGGAAACCUCUCUGAACAGGUAUAUUUGAGUGAUUUGUGCAUUUGUAGCAACCACCCAUAUCAGGGCUGGGAUAAAAGUAUGCUUUAUAGAUCUAAUAAUAAGUAUGAAGAUUUGAGGCCAAAAAGAGCUUGAUGUGAGGAACCAAAAGGAGGUCAGUGGAGUUGGAGCAUGCGCAAGAGGGAGAAUGGUAGAAAUGAAACUGGAGAUCCAGCAAUGCAUGACAAAGGCACAGUGGAAUAAGAGAGGGCAGUUAGGAGGUUAUUGCAAGAAGCCACUUAGGGAAUCAUGGCUUAGAAUAGAUAGGGGCAGUGGUGACGUCCAGAAGUGGAUGGAUUUGAAAUAUCUUCUGGAGGUCGAUCAAUAGUACUUCUAAUGAACUUGACAAGAGGUUAAAAAGAAGUACUCAAAGAUAAUUCAUAGUGCAAAUGUGUAAGACUAUCUGAACAUAAGCCUGUUCUAUGACUUUGAGUUUAGCCUUAGUCAUUUGGAUUAAUAUGAUGGGAAAGAAGUUGAAAUCUAGUGGGGGUUAACAAGGGCAUUAACAUUUUUUAAACAGUUAUGGGACAGACAUUUCACAGAUGGCUUCUCUUUUAUUGUCAUAGCACUCCUCAUUCAUUCAACAAAUAUUUGAAUGCCCAAAAAAAUCCCAGCUACUGAAGGUGCAGGAAAAACACAAAAAGCUCAGAUCUCCGCUCUCAUGAAGUUUACCAACUGGAUGCUGAUAACAACAUUCUCAAUCAGGAAUGAAGAAGUGUGUCUAACACUCUGGAAAACACACCUCCCAACUGCCAAAGUGCCUGAAUUUUAUGGAAAACAGAGAGAUUUUCUUUGCUGUCAAGUUUUCUGCCUCUCACUUCCUCCCACAGCUGUGUGUUUGAAUAUUCAGCAGCAGGGUUGGAGGGAGGAGUCAAUUAUUUUUGGUGGGCGACUCUACCUGCACUUUUCCCUUGGUGGUGGAAGCAAACCAAGUGUCAGUAAAAAACAGAGAUUACUGAGA